AGUGAACGCUGGCGGUAGGCCUAACACAUGCAAGUCGAACGACCGCACAGUAAGAUCUUGCUCUUACGGGUGGCGAGUGGCGGACGGGUGAGGAAUACAUCGCAAUCUACUUUUUCGUGGGUGAUAACGUAGGGAAACUUACGCUAAUACCGCAUACGACCUACGGGUGAAAGCAGGGGAUCUUCGGACCUUGCGCGAUUGAAUGAGCCGAUGUCGGAUUAGCUAGUUGGCGUGGUAAAGGCUCACCAAGGCAACGAUGCGUAGCUGAUCUGAGAGGAUGAUCGGCCACACUGGAACUGAGACACGGUCCAGACUCCUACGGGAGGCAGCAGUAGGGAAUAUUCGACAAUGGGCGAAAGCCUGACGGAGCCACACCGCGUGGGUGAAGAAGGCCUUCGGAUCGUAAAGCUCUUUUGUUGGGGAAGAAAAGCAGCGGAUGAAUACAUGGAUGUUUUGACGGUACCCAAUGAGUAAGCAACGGCUAACUACGUG
RNAcentral lists this ribosomal RNA (492 nucleotides) under uncultured bacterium. RNAcentral describes it as "partial 16S ribosomal RNA". It matches the Rfam family "Bacterial small subunit ribosomal RNA", at positions 29 to 507 of the family's 1533-position model. The record is from RNAcentral.